UCCAGUUUUUCAAAAAUAAAAUUGAGAAUUCAUACUUUUUUAAUAUUGUAAUCGCAACAUAUAAGCGAAUAAUCACAAUAUACCUAAAUUCAAAAUUCGUGGUAUUAUAGAGUAUUUUUAUACUAAAAUUUGUGCUUUAUGUCACAAUACACAAUAACUGACUAUUUUGUUUCAAUUAACGAUUUAAUUUUAUUGAAAAAUUGGUUACGAUUAAUUGAAUCGAACAAUCGAUUAUUCGACAAUAUAAUUGCUAGAAUUUUAAGUUAAAAUAACACGGGAAAUAAAUUAUUAUGGCACUAACAAGCAGUAAAUCUUGGAAACUAAACUAAUGAUAAAAGGCUUGAAUAUUCUGCAUUUUACACUGUAACACUCAAAAUAAUACCAACCGUCUGUAAUAAUGACUCCGAAAGUGAAGAGGAAUGAAUUGAAGUGGACAACGCAAGGCACUUCCACACAAGCCAGUACAAAACCAACCAGAUAUUCAGACGUCUUUGUUCAACGCGUAAAGCUAUACAUUUGUAGACGCCAAGCAUUGCAAGCUAACAAAAACUCUUGAUAAAAAUGGAUAAUUUUUCAUUCUCACAUGUGAAAGGUAAUAAUAAAAUUUUUUUUAGUGUCGCUAAAAUUUAGUUGAAAUUUAGGAAAGGAAAAAUAAAGAGCCAGGAAAGAACAUCAUUAAAGUUGAAAUGGAUAAAAUGUACUUUACUUUACUUAAUUAAAACAAUGGUAAACCGUCAGGCAUGUCAAUGAUAAUCAAUGUAUGGACCGACAUUAAUCUAAACAGCAAGAUUAACAUUACUUCACUUGGCCUAUUAAAAAAUCAGUGCGACAACUGGGGUGUUUAAAAUAAAGGAAGAAGCGCAACUGACUACAUCUCUGAUGUACUAAUGGAGUUGUUAAAAAACUUUUAUAUCGCCAAAAGUCAGAUUACGGCAGUUAUGACAGACAAUGAUGCGAAUAUGGUGAAAGCGAUACCCACAAACAUUGGAAAAUACCGUCAUACUCAAGUUUCGCUCCCACUUUGAAUUUAGUUAGCGCGAUUGCCUUGGAAGUGUAUUCUGUUUAAUUAUCCAAUGCCGUACAAUUUUAGUUUGGUUGAAGUGCAGCGGAAAAGCAAAAGCAGCUGUCUGCUGGAAGCUUCUACCAGUCAGAUAAGGGCAACUAUUAAUUGUGAACGCCAGCAAAUAAUAAUAAUAAUAUAAAGGAUUUGACGGCAGUUUCAGAAAUAGAUUAAAGGUUUGGAUGUAGAAUUUGUUCUAUGGUCCCACCACAAGACGAUGGCACAAAAACUUCGUAAGAAUGAUGAUCAAAUUCAAGGCUGCCUAAACUUUUCCUUAAAUGCUCCAAUGUUGGAGCUUAAACGCAACGUCGCUAAUACCUGGGAGAAGAUGCGAUUAUUAUAAAUACAUAUGUACAUAUCCAAAGUUAUACAGUAUUGCCUGCCAAUAUUUUCUUAUUGGCACUUCGGUAGAGGGUCUUGUUCCAAGGCGGGAACUAGUAAGUUACUAGUAGUAACACCGUGCUACUGCCACUGAAAAAAGAAACCGAAUAAUGAUUAUUGUAAUGUAUGUAUUUGUAAUUGUUGUUAGUACAAUUUGCAUUGCACAUGUCCAACUAUAAAAUAAUUGCUCUGUAAAGUAAAUACAAAAAAAAAAACAUUUGAAUAAAUCGAUUAUUUUCAAUUA
Drosophila nasuta is the source of this 1685-nucleotide long non-coding RNA. RefSeq lists it as uncharacterized. The transcript has 2 exons. NCBI's taxonomy places the organism in Eukaryota, Metazoa, Arthropoda, Insecta, Diptera, Drosophilidae. The record is from RefSeq and is a predicted model, not a curated record.